RNAcentral lists this ribosomal RNA (1442 nucleotides) under metagenome. RNAcentral describes it as "bacterial LSU rRNA". It matches the Rfam family "Bacterial large subunit ribosomal RNA", at positions 1506 to 2925 of the family's 2925-position model. The record is from RNAcentral.
UCAAGUUUAAGGUGGUAGGCUGAAAUCUUAGGUAAAUCCGGGGUUUCAAGGCCGAGAGCUGAUGACGAGUCGUCUUUUAGAUGACGAAGUGGUUGAUGCCAUGCUUCCAAGAAAAGCUUCUAAGCUUCAGGUAACCAGGAACCGUACCCCAAACCGACACAGGUGGUCGGGUAGAGAAUACCAAGGCGCUUGAGAGAACUCGGGUGAAGGAACUAGGCAAAAUGGCACCGUAACUUCGGGAGAAGGUGCGCCGGCUAGGGUGAAGGAUUUACUCCGUAAGCUCUGGCUGGUCGAAGAUACCAGGCCGCUGCGACUGUUUAUUAAAAACACAGCACUCUGCAAACACGAAAGUGGACGUAUAGGGUGUGACGCCUCCCCGGUGCCGGAAGGUUAAUUGAUGGGGUUAGCGCAAGCGAAGCUCUUGAUCGAAGCCCCGGUAAACGGCGGCCGUAACUAUAACGGUCCUAAGGUAGCGAAAUUCCUUGUCGGGUAAGUUCCGACCUGCACGAAUGGCGUAACGAUGGCGGCGCUGUCUCCACCCGAGACUCAGUGAAAUUGAAAUCGCUGUGAAGAUGCAGUGUAUCCGCGGCUAGACGGAAAGACCCCGUGAACCUUUACUGUAGCUUUGCACUGGACUUUGAGCCUGCUUGUGUAGGAUAGGUGGGAGGCUUUGAAGCGUGGACGCCAGUUCGCGUGGAGCCAUCCUUGAAAUACCACCCUGGCAUGCUUGAGGUUCUAACUCUGGUCCGUAAUCCGGAUCGAGGACAGUGUAUGGUGGGCAGUUUGACUGGGGCGGUCUCCUCCUAAAGAGUAACGGAGGAGUACGAAGGUGCGCUCAGACCGGUCGGAAAUCGGUCGCAGAGUAUAAAGGCAAAAGCGCGCUUGACUGCGAGACAGACACGUCGAGCAGGUACGAAAGUAGGUCUUAGUGAUCCGGUGGUUCUGUAUGGAAGGGCCAUCGCUCAACGGAUAAAAGGUACUCCGGGGAUAACAGGCUGAUACCGCCCAAGAGUUCAUAUCGACGGCGGUGUUUGGCACCUCGAUGUCGGCUCAUCACAUCCUGGGGCUGAAGCCGGUCCCAAGGGUAUGGCUGUUCGCCAUUUAAAGUGGUACGCGAGCUGGGUUUAGAACGUCGUGAGACAGUUCGGUCCCUAUCUGCCGUGGACGUUUGAGAUUUGAGAGGGGCUGCUCCUAGUACGAGAGGACCGGAGUGGACGAACCUCUGGUGUUCCGGUUGUCACGCCAGUGGCAUUGCCGGGUAGCUAUGUUCGGAAAAGAUAACCGCUGAAAGCAUCUAAGCGGGAAACUUGCCUCAAGAUGAGAUCUCACUGGGAACUUGAUUCCCCUGAAGGGCCGUCGAAGACUACGACGUUGAUAGGCUGGGUGUGUAAGCGUUGUGAGGCGUUGAGCUAACCAGUACUAAUUGCCCGUGAGGCUUGAUC